GUUUGAUCCUGGCUCAGGAUGAACGCUAGCGACAGGCUUAACACAUGCAAGUCGAGGGGCAGCACGAUGUAGCAAUACAUUGGUGGCGACCGGCGCACGGGUGAGUAACGCGUAUGCAACCUACCUAUCAGAGGGGAAUAACCCGGCGAAAGUCGGACUAAUACCGCAUAAAACAGGGGUUCCACAUGGAAAUAUUUGUUAAAGAAUUAUCGCUGAUAGAUGGGCAUGCGUUCCAUUAGAUAGUUGGUGAGGUAACGGCUCACCAAGUCCACGAUGGAUAGGGGUUCUGAGAGGAAGGUCCCCCACACUGGUACUGAGACACGGACCAGACUCCUACGGGAGGCAGCAGUGAGGAAUAUUGGUCAAUGGGCGAGAGCCUGAACCAGCCAAGUCGCGUGAAGGAUGAAGGAUCUAUGGUUUGUAAACUUCUUUUAUAUGGGAAUAAAGUGAGGAACGUGUUCCUUUUUGUAUGUACCAUAUGAAUAAGCAUCGGCUAACUCCGUGCCAGCAGCCGCGGUAAUACGGAGGAUGCGAGCGUUAUCCGGAUUUAUUGGGUUUAAAGGGUGCGUAGGUGGUUAAUUAAGUCAGCGGUGAAAGUUUGUGGCUCAACCAUAAAAUUGCCGUUGAAACUGGUUGACUUGAGUAUAUUUGAGGUAGGCGGAAUGCGUGGUGUAGCGGUGAAAUGCAUAGAUAUCACGCAGAACUCCGAUUGCGAAGGCAGCUUACUAAACUAUAACUGACACUGAAGCACGAAAGCGUGGGGAUCAAACAGGAUUAGAUACCCUGGUAGUCCACGCAGUAAACGAUGAUUACUAGCUGUUUGCGAUACACAGUAAGCGGCACAGCGAAAGCGUUAAGUAAUCCACCUGGGGAGACGCCGGCAACGGUGAAACUCAAAGGAAUUGACGGGGGCCCGCACAAGCGGAGGAACAUGUGGUUUAAUUCGAUGAUACGCGAGGAACCUUACCCGGGUUUGAACGCAUAUUGACAGCUCUGGAAACAGAGUCUCUAGUAAUAGCAAUUUGCGAGGUGCUGCAUGGUUGUCGUCAGCUCGUGCCGUGAGGUGUCGGCUUAAGUGCCAUAACGAGCGCAACCCUUAUCACUAGUUACUAACAGGUCAUGCUGAGGACUCUAGUGAGACUGCCAGCGUAAGCUGUGAGGAAGGUGGGGAUGACGUCAAAUCAGCACGGCCCUUACAUCCGGGGCGACACACGUGUUACAAUGGUGGGGACAAAGGGCAGCUACCGUGUGAGCGGAUGCGAAUCUCCAAACCCCAUCUCAGUUCGGAUCGAAGUCUGCAACCCGACUUCGUGAAGCUGGAUUCGCUAGUAAUCGCGCAUCAGCCAUGGCGCGGUGAAUACGUUCCCGGGCCUUGUACACACCACCCGUCAAGCCAUGGGAGUUGGGGGUACCUAAAGUCCGUAACCGCAAGGAUCGGCCUAGGGUAAAACCGAUGACUGGGGCUAAGUCGUAACAAGGUAGCCGUACCGGAAGGUGCGGCUGGAACACCUCCUUUCUGGAGCGCAGAGUUCGUUAUCAAGUUGACUCAGAGGUAUUAGUUAACUUGUACUACGGUUGAAUAUGUAUAAAAUAUAGAUCUACCGGCAAUAAAGUGUCGGCAAGAGAGAAAAAUGAUGCUGAGGGAAACCAAGGCAAAGUUGACAGUCCUAUAGCUCAGUUGGUUAGAGCGCUACACUGAUAAUGUAGAGGUCGGCAGUUCAACUCUGCCUGGGACUACAGAAUCUCUAAGAGAGAAUUUUGGGGGAUUAGCUCAGCUGGCUAGAGCAUCUGCCUUGCACGCAGAGGGUCAACGGUUCGAAUCCGUUAUUCUCCACAAAAAGUUACCGAGACAUCAGAAACGUAAAGUAACGACAAGAUCUUUGACAUGAUGGACAACGUAAAAUAAAGUAACAAGAGCAAGCUGAAGAUAUAUCAAUCCGAUUUACCCCUGUGGUAACCGGAAAUAAGAAAGUAAGCAAGGGCAGACGGUGGAUGCCUUGGC
RNAcentral lists this ribosomal RNA (2002 nucleotides) under Parabacteroides goldsteinii. RNAcentral describes it as "bacterial SSU rRNA". The stretch from base 1 to 1516 matches the Rfam family "Bacterial small subunit ribosomal RNA". The record is from RNAcentral. Lineage: Bacteria; Pseudomonadati; Bacteroidota; Bacteroidia; Bacteroidales; Tannerellaceae.